UUUUUUAUAUUGGAGGGCAAGUCUGGUGCCAGCAGCCGCGGUAAUUCCAGCUCCAAUAGCGUAUAUUAAAGUUGUUGCGGUUAAAAAGCUCGUAGUUGGAUCUCAGCUCACGCUAAGUGGUCCACUUAAUGGUGGUUACUACUUAGCUGAGCAUUUUACAGAUUUGUCUCUUGAUGCUCUUCACCGAGUGUCAAGAGUGGUCUGUACGUUUACUUUGAAAAAAUUAGAGUGCUUAAAGCAGGCAACUCGCCCGAAUAAUCUUGCAUGGAAUAAUGGAAUAGGACCUUGGUUCUAUUUUGUUGGUCUCCGGAAUCUGAGGUAAUGAUUAAGAGGGACAGACGGGGGCAUUCGUAUUGCGCCGCUAGAGGUGAAAUUCUUGGACCGGCGCAAGACGAACUACAGCGAAAGCAUUUGCCAAGAAUGUUUUUUAAUCAAGAACGAAAGUAGAGGUUCGAAGGCGAUCAGAUACCGCCCUAGUUCUAACCAUAA
This 489-nucleotide ribosomal RNA is filed under the name Quadraseta brasiliensis. Its description in RNAcentral is "SSU rRNA". It matches the Rfam family "Eukaryotic small subunit ribosomal RNA", at positions 539 to 1035 of the family's 1831-position model. The record is from RNAcentral. Lineage: Eukaryota; Metazoa; Arthropoda; Arachnida; Trombidiformes; Trombiculidae.